This 231-nucleotide ribosomal RNA is filed under the name uncultured bacterium. RNAcentral's name for it is "partial 16S ribosomal RNA". It matches the Rfam family "Bacterial small subunit ribosomal RNA", at positions 103 to 334 of the family's 1533-position model. The record is from RNAcentral.
CGGGUGAGUAACGCGUGGAUAACCUGCCUCACACUGGGGGAUAACAGUUAGAAAUGGCUGCUAAUACCGCAUAAGCGCACAGUACCGCAUGGUACGGUGUGAAAAACCCAGGUGGUGUGAGAUGGAUCCGCGUCUGAUUAGCCAGUUGGCGGGGUAACGGCCCACCAAAGCGACGAUCAGUAGCCGACCUGAGAGGGUGACCGGCCACAUUGGGACUGAGACACGGCCCAG